UAUUGGAGAAACAGGCCCUCUUAUAUCAGAUAGGCAUCAACAGCGGGAGGGGUACCGAGAGUCAUCGUCUUCGGCUUUCGGAAUUACCAUUAUUACGGCAAAAGACGAACAGCACAGUGCAAGACAUGCGGCAUAAACAUCUCGGACAGCCAGGCGACAACUUCAAACUUUGUUCGUCAUUUGAAGAGCCAUUCUGCCCAGGCAUAAGCACAUAAAGCUGGCAGCAGUGACCCAGCGCCCGACACCGGUUCACAGUGAGGACAGAAACAGAGGGCUCGGUGGGGAGCACCUGCUGCAGCAAGCGAACUCACCAACUGCGGUCACUUUGACUUGACCAGCUGACUUCACCACAAGCCGAUUAGCUGUUGAAACAGGAGAUUUAAAAGUAGCUGUUAGCGGCCAACUCAAAGAGGAAGAGCAACGAGCAAAAAUGUCUGCAAAUUGUGAAAACAAUGAGGACCAGCAGCUCCUUACCAUCCAAGCAGAGGACAACAUCAGCUACCAUAUAACAGAGAUGGAGCAGAGAGUCAUAUUGGUGAGAGGCUAGGCACCCGUGGUGAGGUCCCUUCACGUUUGUGUGUGAGUAGUUGCACUGGGACACCAUAGACUGCACCAUUUUUUGUUUAAGGAUUGCUGUGUUUGUUUGCUGUGCCCACUUGUGGUGGUUAGAGGUAGCACCCCAAGGCACUCCUCUGUGUAGUCUGCCUCUCCCAAGUGGCCUCAGCUCCAAUUCUUUUCCUUAGUUUUGUUUAUGUUGGGCUGAGUUUUUAAUUAUUGUAUCAGUCAUUUUUAGAAUUUCUAUCAAGGCCUUUUUUUAGUAUAAAUUGUAAUAAACUAUUUUUAUAUACCUAAAUUUUUGGUUGUUGUUUAUUAAUUUUAUUCUUCUUCCUUUUCAGCAGCCCCAGCCCCUGCCAUUUGCUUUGAUUAUUUUGUUUAUCAAUAAAAACAUUUCCGCCUUAACUGAUUACACGUCUCAGCCUCUUUCAGUAACGAACCUGUGUGCCUUAGCAAUUAUUCUACACACUAUUCAAGGUACUUCAAGUAUUUCCUGGGGUGAAACUCCCCAGGUGGCAUUGUUGGCUCAUCCUCUAUCCUCCCGUGUGUUAAAAUUCCAAUUUAUACCUACCUCCCCCCUCGCCACAGCCAUCUCAGUUAGAGGCAGUUAUCAAGGCCCCUCAACCGCAAACGGUGGGCCAGAUGUUAUCUUUUUUGGGCAUGACAGGCUACAACAGUCUGUGGAUUUGUGACUAUGCCAUCAAAACUGCCCCACUCAGGGCUCUGAUAAGGGCAGCAGGUCAAACCAAUAACACAGCACAGUUGGCGUGGACAGAGGAAGCAGAAGGAGCGUUCCAAGCUCUAAAAAUAGACAUGCAAUCUGCUCCAGCAUUGGGGACUCCUAACUAUGCUAAACCUUUUCAUUUACAGUACAGGCCAAAAGUUUGGAC
Molecule: long non-coding RNA, 1445 nt
Organism: Epinephelus fuscoguttatus (brown-marbled grouper)
Lineage: Eukaryota; Metazoa; Chordata; Actinopteri; Perciformes; Serranidae
Exons: 4
Source: RefSeq, a predicted model, not a curated record